RNAcentral lists this ribosomal RNA (457 nucleotides) under uncultured bacterium. Its description in RNAcentral is "bacterial SSU rRNA". It matches the Rfam family "Bacterial small subunit ribosomal RNA", at positions 28 to 507 of the family's 1533-position model. The record is from RNAcentral.
GAUGAACGCUGGCGGUAUGCCUAACACAUGCAAGUCGUACGAGAGUUUUUAACUCUAGUGGCGGACGGGUGAGUAACACGUGAGAAUUUGCCUUUAGGAGGGGGACAACAAUCGGAAACGAAUGCUAAUACCCCAUAUGCUUUCGAGUGAAAUGGAUUUUAUCCGCCUAGAGAGAAGCUCGCGGCUGAUUAGCUUGUUGGUAAGGUAAGAGCUUACCAAGGCGACGAUCAGUAUCUGGUUUGAGAGGACGAUCAGACACACUGGAACUGAGACACGGUCCAGACUCCUACGGGAGGCAGCAGUAGGGAAUAUUGGACAAUGGGGGCAACCCUGAUCCAGCCAUUCCGCGUGCAGGAAUAAGGCCCUAUGGGUCGUAAACUGCUUUUGUAUGGGAAAAAAUCAUCUUACGUGUAGGAUGUUGAUGGUACCAUGAGAAUAAGGAUCGGCUAACUUCGUG